Molecule: long non-coding RNA, 759 nt
Filed under: Homo sapiens (human)
Lineage: Eukaryota; Metazoa; Chordata; Mammalia; Primates; Hominidae
Description: HSALNT0083442
Source: RNAcentral
GCCAGAGAGAGAGCGGGUGGCUGAGCUGUGGCCACCAGGCAUCCUGAGCACGCCCCUGCCAUGUUGAGGGUACUGAGCACAAGCUCCUCCCUCAUAGCUUGCCAUGGGGAUGCUCAGAGCCCACCAGGGAUUUGUGGCCAAGCGAUGCAGGAGCAGGAAGUGCUGCCGGCAGGGCAUGAGCCUGUCUGGGUGAAAGUUCGAAGAUGGCUGCUGGGCCACAGGGGACCCUGGGAGACCUCCACAGGCUGCAGCGUGUGCGCUUCUUGUAUGUGCACAAGAGCAGAGCCCUAUGGUCCAGCUGAAUGCAUAAGCAGAUUCUCAGAGACAGAGACGUGGGCAGCAUCUUCGUGUGGACAAAAGCCUGCUCCAGACUUCCCUAGCUGCUCCUCCUGCAGGCGCCUGUUUUUCCUGCUGGUGACUGCGCCCACGUUUCCCAGGGAGCCUCCCUGCUCCAGCGGCAGCCUCUGCACCAGUUUGAACCUGUGCUUUCCUGGAGUCACACCUCCUUGACCAGCUGGGGGCGUCUCGUCAAGAUGGGGGCAAUCGCUCGUGGAGGGCGCUUGGCUACCCCCCAUGCAGUCACCUCAGCAGCAGGUGCACGUAAUUACUACCACACACGUUCACCACCCUGCACCGCCAUUUCCCCUUUAGCAAGACGGGGGUGAGUGUGUGCAUAUGUGAAAAAACAUAAACAGAUUGUACAACAAAGUGUUCUCUAGCUGUCAGCAAGAGCUUUGAAAAUAAAACACUUCCCUCCCA